AGUGAACGCUGGCGGUAGGCCUAACACAUGCAAGUCGAACGGCAGCACAGUAAGAGCUUGCUCUUACGGGUGGCGAGUGGCGGACGGGUGAGGAAUACAUCGGAAUCUACUUUUUCGUGGGGGAUAACGUAGGGAAACUUACGCUAAUACCGCAUACGACCUACGGGUGAAAGCAGGGGAUCUUCGGACCUUGCGCGAUUGAAUGAGCCGAUGUCGGAUUAGCUAGUUGGCGGGGUAAAGGCCCACCAAGGCGACGAUCCGUAGCUGGUCUGAGAGGAUGGUCAGCCACACUAGAACUGAGACACGGUCCAGACUCCUACGGGAGGCAGCAGUGGGGAAUAUUGGACAAUGGGCGCAAGCCUGAUCCAGCCAUACCGCGUGGGUGAAGAAGGCCUUCGGGUUGUAAAGCCCUUUUGUUGGGAAAGAAAAGCAGCAGGUUAAUACCCCGCUGUUCUGACGGUACCCAAAGAAUAAGCACCGGCUAACUUCGUG
Molecule: ribosomal RNA, 492 nt
Filed under: uncultured bacterium
Lineage: Bacteria
Description: partial 16S ribosomal RNA
Rfam family: Bacterial small subunit ribosomal RNA
Source: RNAcentral